AGCUUAUAGAAAUUAUUUUAAGUAACGCCUGCCCAGUGCAAAGUUGUAAAUGGCCGCAGUACUCUGACUGUGCUAAGGUAGCAUAAUCAGUUGGCUUUUAAAUGGAGUCGGGAAUGAAAGGAUUUAUAGGGCUUAGCUGUCUCUAAGGUAUUUAAUUGAAUUUAUUAAAAAGGUGAAAAUCCCUUAAUUUAGAAAAAAGACGAGAAGACCCUUGGAGUUUUCACCUACUUAUACUAUUAUAAAAAGGUUUUUGUUGGGGCGACAUAGGAAAAUAUUUUUUAAAAACUUCCUAAUUUAAUAUACCGACUUGUUGUAUACUAAACUAAACUACCCGAGGGAUAACAGCGUAAUUCUUUUGAGCUUGCGACCUCGAUGUUGGACUAGGAAUUAAUUAGGCUAGCCGCUUAUUUUUAUUGUUCUGUUCGAACUUAAUUUCC
This 437-nucleotide ribosomal RNA is filed under the name Elysia leucolegnote. RNAcentral describes it as "partial 16S ribosomal RNA". It matches the Rfam family "Archaeal large subunit ribosomal RNA", at positions 1908 to 2664 of the family's 2987-position model. Lineage: Eukaryota; Metazoa; Mollusca; Gastropoda; Plakobranchidae. The record is from RNAcentral.